This is a long non-coding RNA of Bos indicus x Bos taurus (hybrid cattle), 870 nucleotides long. Lineage: Eukaryota; Metazoa; Chordata; Mammalia; Artiodactyla; Bovidae. The record is from Ensembl.
CUCCCCAGGCCCCGGCCCCGCCUCCUCAGGCCCCGGCCCCGCCUCGCACGGGCUCUCCUGCAGAAGCGUUGUGGGGGCGGCAGCGAGCCUGUGCACAGAGCGUACAGGAACCGGGCUUGUGGACCCAGGGCAGGUUCUGAAGUGGCUAAAGAGGAGGCAAUCAUCUGGGGGCCAGAGGGAGACCUGCCUGGACGACGGCCGGAGGGAGCGCUGCAGUACAGACCUCCGGGGGCCAGGGAGGAGCACCCCCGUGGAGGGCAGUGGGUGGCCUCAUGGUGACCAGGACAACAGGGAGGGCCGGGGGGAAGAAGGUGCAGAGGAGCCGGCUCAGCCUGGGCUGCCGUCCCCUCCUCACAGCCAGCAGGGCAUCUCGGCACAUGUGGACCCGGGAGGACUCGGUUCCCACCAGGAGCACUGGGAGUCCCGAGCUGUGGGCUUGGGCUUCUCAUCAUACAAGGCAGCGGCUCCUUCUCUCCUGAGGAUGUGGGGACCAGCCUGUGAGCUCCACGGUGACAGAUGCCACUCUUCUGUUCAGGACAGCUGCUGACCAAGUGGGGCCAAUGGGGAGAGUCCAUUUCAAAUUUCCACCUGGACUCCCAGACCCUGACUCUAGCGGAGACCCUCCCCUGGCGCCAUCAGGACAAACUUGCCCCCAGGUAAAAGUCUCAGAGGGCGAAGGGGACACAUCACCACUGAUAGGACUCCUGGACACACGAUUUUGUUGCACCUCAUCCCCGCCAACACGCAGGUCUCCACGCCGCAGCCCUGGCCCAGCACGACUCUCCCCUGCCUUUCACCAUAUUCUGUGCUCAGCACGCUGAAUCUGAGACUACUUGAGGUGGCGGGUGAUUCUGAUGAUAACUGUAAAAA